AGGACGAACGCUGGCGGCGUGCUUAACACAUGCAAGUCGAGCGAUGAAGCUCUUCGGAAGUGGAUUAGCGGCGGACGGGUGAGUAACACGUGGGUAACCUGCCUCAUAGAGGGGAAUAGCCUUCCGAAAGGAAGAUUAAUACCGCAUAAGAUUGUAAUAUCGCAUGAUAUAGCAAUUAAAGGAGUAAUCCGCUAUGAGAUGGACCCGCGUCGCAUUAGCUAGUUGGUGAGGUAACGGCUCACCAAGGCGACGAUGCGUAGCCGACCUGAGAGGGUGAUCGGCCACAUUGGGACUGAGACACGGCCCAGACUCCUACGGGAGGCAGCAGUGGGGAAUAUUGCACAAUGGGGGAAACCCUGAUGCAAGCAACGCCGCGUGAGUGAUGACGGUCUUCGGAUUGUAAAGCUCUGUCUUCAGGGACGAUAAUGACGGUACCUGAGGAGGAAGCCACGGCUAACUACGUGCCAGCCGCCGC
RNAcentral lists this ribosomal RNA (475 nucleotides) under uncultured bacterium. Its description in RNAcentral is "bacterial SSU rRNA". It matches the Rfam family "Bacterial small subunit ribosomal RNA", at positions 26 to 518 of the family's 1533-position model. The record is from RNAcentral.